Molecule: non-coding RNA, 30 nt
Filed under: Homo sapiens (human)
Lineage: Eukaryota; Metazoa; Chordata; Mammalia; Primates; Hominidae
Source: RNAcentral
UCUGUGGUACUCAGGGUGUGCGUGCUCUGU